Molecule: non-coding RNA, 397 nt
Organism: Globicephala melas (long-finned pilot whale)
Lineage: Eukaryota; Metazoa; Chordata; Mammalia; Artiodactyla; Delphinidae
Source: the annotation of a RefSeq genome assembly
AUGGAGAAACUCCUGACCGUGUCUUUGGUGAUUCUGUGGCUUCAACUGGCCAAGGUGAACAGCCAGCAAGGAGACGAGAAUCUUCAGGCCCUGAGCAUCCAGGAGGGUGAAAAUGCCACCAUGAACUGCAGUUAUAAAACUGCUAUAGAAAACCUUACAUUGGUACAGACAGGAUUCAAGGAGAGGCUUUGCCCACCUGAUUUUAAUACGUUCAAAUGAGAGAGAGAAGCUUAGUGGAAGACUGCGAGUCACGCUUGACAACUCCAUCAAAGGCAGUUCCCUGUCCAUCACGGCUUCCCAGGCUGCAGACACUGCUACUUACCUCUGUGCUACGGAUACACAGUGCUCACCAAGCAACUGCAGCCCCAACGCAAACCCUGCCAGAGCUGCCUCUUAG